This 400-nucleotide ribosomal RNA is filed under the name uncultured bacterium. Its description in RNAcentral is "bacterial SSU rRNA". It matches the Rfam family "Bacterial small subunit ribosomal RNA", at positions 360 to 776 of the family's 1533-position model. The record is from RNAcentral.
AAUUUUGCGCAAUGGGGGAAACCCUGACGCAGCAACGCCGCGUGAAUGAUGAAGCUCUUCGGAGUGUAAAGUUCUGUCAGUAGGGAAGAAUUAUGACUGUACCUACAAAGGAAGCACCGGCUAACUCCGUGCCAGCAGCCGCGGUAAUACGGGGGGUGCAAGCGUUGUCCGGAAUUAUUGGGCGUAAAGCGUUCGUAGGCGGUAUAUCAAGUCUGGUGUUAAAGACCGAGGCUCAACUUCGGAAGGGCACUGGAUACUGAUAGACUAGAAUGAGAUAGGAGUAAUGGGAAUUCCUGGUGUAGCGGUGAAAUGCGUAGAUAUCAGGAGGAACAUCAGUGGCGAAGGCGCAUUACUGGGUCUUAAUUGACGCUGAGGAACGAAAGCCAGGGGAGCAAAUGGG